UUGGCGAAUUUUACAGCCAUAUGGCCUAGUCCACCGAGACCAACCACACCCACAUGCAGACCAGGUUUGUCUAGUGCAAAAUAUCUGAGAGGGCUAUAAACUGUGAUGCCAGCACAAAGGAGAGGUGCAGCAGCAUCAAGUGGUAAGCCAUCAGGAAUUCGAACCACAAAGUGUUCAUCUGCAACCAUUGAAUCAGAGUAACCUCCAUAUGUGAUGCUACCAUCUUUAUAUUUGUCAUCAUAUGUGAGAGUAUAUUGUGGACAAUAAUUCUCAAGAUUG
Molecule: long non-coding RNA, 279 nt
Filed under: Vigna radiata
Lineage: Eukaryota; Viridiplantae; Streptophyta; Magnoliopsida; Fabales; Fabaceae
Description: long non-coding RNA (VRAD_LNC011030)
Source: RNAcentral